Ornithodoros turicata is the source of this 284-nucleotide long non-coding RNA. RefSeq lists it as uncharacterized. The record is from RefSeq and is a predicted model, not a curated record. NCBI's taxonomy places the organism in Eukaryota, Metazoa, Arthropoda, Arachnida, Ixodida, Argasidae. The transcript is spliced from 3 exons.
AGAUUGAAAUUGAGUACCCUUUCCUAUUUCUAGGAAAAACUUCACGGUCGUGGUCAAUGGCACGGGCGAUACAUUUCCUUCGGAACUUGGGCCACUGAGUGGAAUGAAAGUGGUGGCUCUCGGCAGAAACUGUCUCACUCUACAUAAAGAAGAAGAGACUCAGUUGUGGGUUACACAGGCCCGUGUUGAUUCUCCAACAUGCUGUAAAAAGUUUUUUGAUGAAAAACGCGGAAGCGAAAAAUUCCUGACGACGUACAGCCGUGAAUUCUGCUGAAGAUGCCUGG